GUGAAUCAUCAAAUUUUUGAACGCAAAUUGCACUCUCCGGUUUUCCGGGAGAGUAUGCCCGUUUGAGGGUCAGCCUAAAAAAAUCGACAUUGUUGCUGUUUUAUGGUGACUUUCGUCGGAGAUGGGUUAUCUUAAAUCUCGGUUUAAGCGACUUAAAAAUUUUUUUUUCGGUUUCAAAGAUUUUUUCUAAGAUUUUUUUUUUACUUUUAAGGU
This 213-nucleotide unclassified non-coding RNA is filed under the name Glomeraceae sp. RNAcentral describes it as "partial contains 5.8S ribosomal RNA and internal transcribed spacer 2". The stretch from base 1 to 72 matches the Rfam family "5.8S ribosomal RNA", at positions 84 to 154 of the family's 154-position model. The record is from RNAcentral. Lineage: Eukaryota; Fungi; Glomeromycota; Glomeromycetes; Glomerales; Glomeraceae.